This 282-nucleotide long non-coding RNA is filed under the name Homo sapiens (human). RNAcentral describes it as "non-protein coding lnc-NEURL1B-3:1". Lineage: Eukaryota; Metazoa; Chordata; Mammalia; Primates; Hominidae. The record is from RNAcentral.
CAGAGAACAUCAAAUAGCAAAUGAAUAGCAUCAUAAGAAGUCAAGAGAAAGACCAUGGAAGAAAGAAGAAACUUUAACAGCGCUUUUUUCAUGAUCUUUGAACAAGGAGCUCUAAAUUAUCAUUUUGCACUGGCUCUGUCCCAGCUCAUGUUUGUUGAGUGAAUAAAUAAAUAAAUAAAUGCAUACAUACAUAUUUAUUAGUACAUGGAACACACUGAUUAUCUUCCAUUUCCUAACAACACUGUAUGUAAUCAGGAUUGCAGGCAUGUUAUGAAAUACUAG